AGGACGAACGCUGGCGGCGUGCCUAAUGCAUGCAAGUCGAGCGACGAAUAGGUGCGGGUAACCAAGCCUAUUACGGAGCGGCGAACGGGUGAGUAACACGUGAGCGACCUGCCCCGAAGACCGGGAUAGCCCAGGGAAACUUGGAUUAAUACCGGAUAUCCUCCUUUGAUCGCAUGGUCGUUGGAAGAAAUGCUUUUACGCUUCGGGAU
This 209-nucleotide ribosomal RNA is filed under the name uncultured soil bacterium. RNAcentral's name for it is "partial 16S ribosomal RNA". It matches the Rfam family "Bacterial small subunit ribosomal RNA", at positions 26 to 226 of the family's 1533-position model. The record is from RNAcentral.